GACGAACGCUGGCGGCGUGCCUAAUACAUGCAAGUAGAACGCUGAAGGAGGAGCUUGCUUCUCCGGAUGAGUUGCGAACGGGUGAGUAACGCGUAGGUAACCUGCCUGGUAGCGGGGGAUAACUAUUGGAAACGAUAGCUAAUACCGCAUAAGAGUAGAUGUUGCAUGACAUUUGCUUAAAAGGUGCAAUUGCAUCACUACCAGAUGGACCUGCGUUGUAUUAGCUAGUUGGUGGGGUAACGGCUCACCAAGGCGACGAUACAUAGCCGACCUGAGAGGGUGAUCGGCCACACUGGGACUGAGACACGGCCCAGACUCCUACGGGAGGCAGCAGUAGGGAAUCUUCGGCAAUGGACGGAAGUCUGACCGAGCAACGCCGCGUGAGUGAAGAAGGUUUUCGGAUCGUAAAGCUCUGUUGUAAGAGAAGAACGAGUGUGAGAGUGGAA
This 446-nucleotide ribosomal RNA is filed under the name Streptococcus mitis. Its description in RNAcentral is "bacterial SSU rRNA". It matches the Rfam family "Bacterial small subunit ribosomal RNA", at positions 28 to 466 of the family's 1533-position model. Lineage: Bacteria; Bacillati; Bacillota; Bacilli; Lactobacillales; Streptococcaceae. The record is from RNAcentral.